This 385-nucleotide ribosomal RNA is filed under the name uncultured eukaryote. RNAcentral's name for it is "SSU rRNA". It matches the Rfam family "Eukaryotic small subunit ribosomal RNA", at positions 587 to 972 of the family's 1831-position model. The record is from RNAcentral.
AGCUCCAAAAGCGUAUAUUAAAGUUGUUGCAGUUAAAAAGCUCGUAGUUGGAUUUCUGGCGCUGUUUGCGGUUCAUUGCUUAAUUGUGGUGUAACUAGUUCGAACGGCGCCAUCGUUGGGUGGAACCUGUGUGGCAUUAGGUUGUCGCGCAGGGGAUGCUCAUCUUUUACUGUGAAAAAAUUAGAGUGUUCAAAGCAGGCUUACGCCGUUGAAUAUAUUAGCAUGGAAUAACACUAUACGAUCUUGGAUCUAUUUUGUUGGUUUGCGCUCCGAGAUAAUGAUUAACAGGGACAGUUGGGGGUAUUCGUAUUCCAUUGUCAGAGGUGAAAUUCUUGGAUUUCUGGAAGACGAACUACUGCGAAAGCAUUUACCAAGGAUGUUUUCA